UCGAGUUCACAGCGACUCCCAACCCGUGCAAACCUUACCGCAUCCUUCUGAGAGCGCCCGUUGCCUCCUGGCGGGCGGCGCGCCCNNNNAACCCCCUCCCUCGCCUCUUUGAGGAGGGGGGGGAGGAGGGCGCGCCGCCCGCCGGGGCGCGGCGUGGCCCGCUCUCUUCACUGAACCUUCUUUAGUUUAUCUUUACCGUCUGAGCAAAACCACUGAAUCGUUA
Molecule: unclassified non-coding RNA, 223 nt
Filed under: Leptographium ningerense
Lineage: Eukaryota; Fungi; Ascomycota; Sordariomycetes; Ophiostomatales; Ophiostomataceae
Description: internal trancribed spacer 1
Source: RNAcentral